RNAcentral lists this long non-coding RNA (3074 nucleotides) under Homo sapiens (human). RNAcentral's name for it is "HSALNT0014294". The record is from RNAcentral. Lineage: Eukaryota; Metazoa; Chordata; Mammalia; Primates; Hominidae.
CUGGGCUGUGCACUUCAGAUUGGAACACUUUGGUCUGUGUGGAUUAUACUUCAGUCAUUUACUGAUAGCAAAAAUACAUAAACAAAUAAAUAAAUAAAAACAAAUAACAUUUGGGUGUUGGGGAAUGACAUUAAGUUUAGAUUUUAUUGUAUUCUUUAGGCUUUACUUAAAAUUCCCAGUUGGAGUGCAAACUAGCCUCAUGUCCUCUCGCUUGUUUCUGAUUCGGCCUUAAAAGGCCCCACGGAUGUUUGAAAUAUCUGAACCAGAAAAACGGUUAUGGCCACAUCGUGGUAAUAGUGGAGGAUUCCAAUAAGGCUGACUGAGAGGGAGCACCUCACCUUUUGGGUGCUGCACUUGCUCAGAGAGGGGGCAAAAGCCCAGCCUUUCAAGAUGACUGGACCCCAGCAUGCAAGGUAGGGGUUCCUUCUAUUCUCACCACUGCACAGAGCUCCGAAGGCACUGGUAAGUUGUAACCUCUCUAGUCGCAGGUAAAAGCGCAGCCUAGGCAGAGGUUGGAGUCUAAAGGAAAGGAGGAGUGCCACGCCCCAGGAGGGACACUGCCAUGACUGGGAUUCCACCCUUGGCCGCGAUGCAGAGUACUAACCAAUAUACCAUCACAGGAAGCCGCCUGCUUUCUUCUUUAAACUUAAUAUAGGGCUGCUUCGGCCUAAGGGUCCCCAUGAUUUUCCUUCUUUCUUGGUGUCUCUCCAUUUUUCCUGGCGUUCUCCCCACUCUGCUACAGUAGAAAAGAUGAUUUUUGUCUCUCAGGGAUCCGGUCCUUACCGCUGAACAAAGCUACUGGGAAGUUUCCUCGCCAGGGUCGCCGCCUCUGCCGACUUCCUUGCUCUCCUCCUUGCAGUUACCCGUUGGACCCACCCAGUGCCCCGCUCCCGCCCUAGUGCCCCAGGCACCCACCCAAAAACAGCGCAGCUGAGCCCCCGCAGCUCCAUCGCGCAGAAGGUUUACUGGAGGCCUCAGCCCGUUGUCUGCCCCACGGGAUGCCAGGAAAUCCAUCGGAAUAAACGCUUUUUAAAAAGAAUUUACCGCCGGGCGCGGUGGCUCACGCCUGUAAUCCCAGCACUUUGGGAGGCCGAGGCAGGCGGAUCACGAGGUCAGGAGAUCGAGACCAUCCUGGCCAACACGGUGAAACCCCGUAUCUACUAAAAAGAAAGAAAGAAAGAAAGAAAGAAAGAAAGAAAGAAAGAGAAAAAAAAUUAGCCGGGAGUUGUGGCGGGCGCCUGUAGUCCCAGCUACUGGGGAGGCUGAGCCAGGAAAUGGCGUGAACCCCGGAGGCGGAGCUUGCAGUGAGCCGAGUUCGCGCCACUGCACUCCAGCCUGGGCGACAGAGCGAGACCCUGUAUCAAAAAAAAAAACAAAAAAAACAAAACAAAACAAAAAAAAAACUUACUUUCCCUUCGCGACCAGCCUGGGCAACACGGUGAAAUCCCGUCUCUACAAAAAAUACAAAAAUUAGCCCAUCGUGUGGCGCACGCCUGUAGUCCCAGCUCCUUGGGGCGCUGAGGCAAGAAAAUCGCUCGGCCCCAGGAGGUCGAGGCUGCAGUGAGCCGUGUUUGCAUCACUGCACUCCAGCCUGGGCUACCAAGUGAGACCCUGUCUCACAAACAGAACAAAACAAAACUUCCCCAUGGAAAAACAGUUCAUGAUUUCUAUUUUCAGAGCUCUUCAAAAGACUAAAAACUGAAUGCGACGAUGGAUUAAUUCAAGUCCUAGUCGUGCGCUCUGGACCUGGAACUUGCACAGUCGUCCUGCCAGGAGGGCCCCUGAAGAUUGAGGGGAUGGGGAGUUUGCUGAGUGCACCCUUCCUAUAGCGCCCAGAAGAAGGCACGGAACGUGUACCUGCAGCGCAAUUCGUUAGAGCAUUCUGCUGUUAAUAGAAAGAGACGGGAUUUCGCCGUGUUGCCCAGGCUGGUCGUGAGGGGAGAGGCACCCUCCUGGCUUAACUGAGGGGUUGUACAACAGAAGGACAUGGUGGACAUUGCACACAGAAACUCUGUGACAUAGGAUGAACUGCUAAACUUCUAAGAUAUUUUAAAGUCCUCCAACAUCUGUGAUUGUUUUCUGUGAUGACUAAGUCACACUGGUCCAGAGAAGAUGGGCCACAGCGACCUCUUGGAAAGCUUUCUGUCAAGUCCCUUACACAAGGGGAGCAAAAUCACAAAGGUCCCAGGCAAUUUUUUUCUUCUCCCCUUUCCUCUUUUCUUCAUAAAUCUUGGUUUUUCUUUUAUUUGCCAAAACCAAUCUAAUGCCCUUUCUCCCUCCUAUACAAUGGUAAAUUACCAUGCAGAUAGCUGUCCCUGUAUUAUUAUUUGAUAGAUUUUUUCAGGGGCUAUGUCCAUAACAAUUAGCACAUCUGAGAAACAUCACUGGAGCCAACAGAACCCUCCACCCAACGGGCAUCUUGUGUAGACCUGAACCCUCAGAGCUAUUAGCUCCUGUUUCCUUGCUUCUUUUAAUGAAUAUCAUGAAUAGAAAUUGAGCUCUUUGGCUUUUAAUCACUAAGUAUGGCUGUAGUACAUGUCUCUGUCUCCCUCUAUGUCUUCUCUCUCUCUCUCUCUCUCUCACUGUUUCUUUCUCAUUUUUGCAUUAUUAUUUUCUGUCAUCAGUGGCACCAAUGUGGGUUUCUGGUUUUGAUGUUAUGGAGUGAACUUCUGGGGACAAUCUCUGUUAGGUGGUGGUUGACAAGGAUCCAUUCCCUGAUUGGCAGUACAUGACAGCUAAUCUAGUCUGUGAGUCUUUCUUGAUUGUCCAUUAUCCUAAAGAUUCUGGUCUUUCCUGACAUUUGAGACUGCAGCAAUGAGAAGGUUUUCAUAUCUUGUCUAUCUGAUGUUUGGUAAAAGUCUUAGGGACACAUUAGCUGUCAAUAUCUGCAAGAAUGGCAUCUCUGUAAUAAGGAUGAUCUUAAUACACACUAUGCCACACCCCAUUUCAUAGGAACUCUUGGCUCCAGGAAAGUGCUAUACCUAAAUGGAUCUUAGCACAGGAAAGAAACUAAAUUCCUAGCAUGUGAGGGGAACCUUUCUUUGAUUGGCAUAUUCAAGUUUUUCACAGCUGAA